GAAUGUAUAGCUCAGUGGUAGAGCAUGUGCUUAGCAUGAAUGAAGUCCUGUCCUGGGUUCAAUCCCCAGUGCCUCCA
RNAcentral lists this transfer RNA (77 nucleotides) under Camelus bactrianus (Bactrian camel). It matches the Rfam family "tRNA". From Rfam's summary of the family: Transfer RNA (tRNA) molecules are approximately 80 nucleotides in length. Their secondary structure includes four short double-helical elements and three loops (D, anti-codon, and T loops). Further hydrogen bonds mediate the characteristic L-shaped molecular structure. tRNAs have two regions of fundamental functional importance: the anti-codon, which is responsible for specific mRNA codon recognition, and the 3' end, to which the tRNAs corresponding amino acid is attached (by aminoacyl-tRNA synthetases). tRNAs cope with the degeneracy of the genetic code in two manners: having more than one tRNA (with a specific anti-codon) for a particular amino acid; and 'wobble' base-pairing, i.e. permitting non-standard base-pairing at the 3rd anti-codon position. RNAcentral also lists the same sequence under 1 other name. Lineage: Eukaryota; Metazoa; Chordata; Mammalia; Artiodactyla; Camelidae. The record is from Rfam by way of RNAcentral.